RNA transcript from Salvelinus sp. IW2-2015, 2359 nucleotides. It is a transcript of the gene named CD276 antigen homolog, with no coding region annotated. The record is from RefSeq and is a predicted model, not a curated record. Lineage: Eukaryota; Metazoa; Chordata; Actinopteri; Salmoniformes; Salmonidae.
UCGGCCACUUCUCAGAAUGGUGCUAUGUCUCGCAAGUUGCGCAGUCAGUUGAUUACAAUUAUUUAUUUUUUUACACCAUUUCAGCAGCGCAAAAGAUUUGAGGCUGAUCCAAAAUCAAAAAGCCUCGUCUUGGUAAGAUCCCUGGAGGAGAGGGGUGUGGCUCAUUCAUAGCAGAGGCGUAUCAUCACCAAAGUUCAUUCUGUCUGCCAGUCUGAUCCGUCAGGACACAGGCAGGAUUAUCAUCUGUAAAGGCUUCUGUCUGCUGAAUGGUCUGCAUUCAUCUGAAAAUGGCUGUUGGCUUAGUUGUUGUGCUGUAUGUUAUUUCAGUAGUUUCAUCAACACACCCGAAGAAGAAAACCGUCGUUGGAAUCAUCGGACAGCCCGUCCUUCUGCCCUGUGGUCGCUCCAAAUUGGCAACUCCCAACUACCCAACAGGAACAAGAAUAUACUGGCAAGAUUUAAUCCCCCGAGUGCUGCACGUUUUCAAAGAUGGAAACGAGGAGUAUGACCACCAACACCAUUUGUACAAAAACAGAACAACAAUUAACACAGAUCAGUUGGCUUCUGGAAAUCUGUCACUCCUGCUCAACCCAGUCAAUGUCCGAGACAAUCGCCUGACCUGCGAUGUUAUUCUAAUAAUCAAUGGCGCAACAUCAAAAGAGUGCCAAAUCACUGUCGAUGUAACAGCGAGUUACCAAAAGCCCAAGCUGACAUUAAACGUCACAGACAUGACGCUUGUGUGCAGCACCCACGGAGGCUUCCCUGAAUACCAGGUGACAUGGAGGACCCAUAACCGUACCCUGGAGCGUCACGAGGCUGUCAACAAGACUACCCAGGAUCCCGGAACAGGGACGUACAACAUCAGUAGUCGAGUGAAUGUGACAGAGGGACAACAUAUAACCUGCAGUAUCUACAACCCCAUCCUCAAUGAGACCCAGAGUAGCUUUAUCGUCAUACAAGCCUCCAAAGAGGAAAACCAUUUACUGAAAUGUAUCCUGCUGGCAGUUUGUCCAUUGGUCAUGUUGUUGAUUGCGGUCAUUCUCUGUUUAAAAUACCCCAACUUCAGGAAGCCAUGGAGGAAGAUGAUCCAUUGCUGCCCUGAACCUGAACCUGAACCUGAAAACAAUGCACAAGAACCAGAAAUUGCAGAAUUGAAUCCACAACAGUAGAAAUCAACUCCCAGAAUCCUCCAGUGGUGAGGAAGARGACAAGUUACUGCGUUGCUGGUGCAUACGGCUGGACAAAAUGAGGACAUUGGUGUGCCAGAAGAGGAGCUGGGGGAGGAUUGGGAGUAGAGACGGGGACCUAUGAGGACGUUGGAGUUUCCUACCUCAGAGAAAUGUUAUUUUACUGGGGCACCUUGUCUCUCUGUUAACCAAGGAGACCUUAGACCUCGUCAGGUCCGAAGUAGCAGACCACCCGUCUCCCAGGGACCGUAGGAUGCCCAACGUCAAAGAGCUGAUUCCACGUCUGACGGAGGACGACGAUGUGGAGGCCUAUCUUCUGGCCUGCGAACGAACGACGCAGAGAGAGAGAUGACCUCCGGAUGACUGGACUGGCCUCUUGGCUCCACUGAUCACAGGCAGAGCCCAGGCGGCGUACUAUGACAUUGAGGAAGGGGUAGCUGUGUAUUACGCACGUCUGAAGCCAGAGAUUCAGUCCCGCUAUCAGCUGAACCCCAGAGACCGGGCCCAAAGGUUUCAUGACUGGAAGUCACCGAGGGGCCAGCUCUACCAGCUUCUCUGUCUGGUAAGGGGGUGGCUAUGCUCCACAAACCACUGCCGAAAUGUUAGAAACCCAAGUCAAAGUGUUUGAGGGAAUUACCCAUCACCAUGCAGAGGUUAGUUGGUUACAGUUGACCACCUAGUCCAGUGCGUCGAGUUAUACUUGUCUACUAAAAGCCUUUCUGCCGUUAGCAGGGCCGAAAAGAACACUCUAGUGGAACGCCCCAUGGCUAGCYYGAGGYUCGYCAAGGCCAGCACCUAGCCCCAUAGUCAAAACUGUUAGUAAGGCCACGCCUCAGGGCCCUAUACAGUGAUUCAAGUGCAACACAUAUGGUCAUAUGGCUAGACCCUGCCCCGGUGUAGAUGUCCCUAUGCCCACUGAAUCAUCAGCCACCACCGUGACCAGMUGGAAUGUCCCACGCCACAYGUAUAUUGACAUGUGGAGCUGGCCCCGGCCUGGAGUGUGCCAGUGCGCGUUAGAYGGACGGACUGGGAGGCCUUCCUAGAUUCGGGAAGCAUGYUYUCUCUGGUACGGGAGGAGGUCCUGGCCAACACGCCACGUUCCGAYGKGGAAACAGCUGUAUUUGUAUUUAUUAUGGAUCCCCAUUAGCUGCUGCCAUUAGCUGGGGUCCAGC